AUCAUUACACAAAUAUGAAGGCGGGCUGGCACCUCUCGGGGUGGCCAGCCUUGCUGAAUUAUUCCACCCGGGUGUCUUUUGCGUACUUCUUGUUUCCUUGGUGGGCUCGCCCACCACAAGGACCAACCCAUAAACCUUUUUGGGUAAUGGCAAUCAGCGUCAGUAACAAUGUAAUAAUUACAACUUUCAACAACGGAUCUCUUGGUUCUGGCAUCGAUGAAGAACGCAGCGAAAUGCGAUAAGUAGUGUGAAUUGCAGAAUUCAGUGAAUCAUCGAAUCUUUGAAAACGCACAUUGCGCCCUUUGGUAUUCCAAAGGGCAUGCCUGUUCGAGCGUCAUUUGUACCCUCAAGCUUUGCUUGGUGUUGGGCGUCUUUUUGUCUACCCCCUUGCGGGGAGACUCGCCUUAAAGUCAUUGGCAGCCGGCCUACUGGUUUCGGAGCGCAGCACAAGUCGCGCUCUCUUCCAGCCCCAAGGUCUAGCAUCCAACAAGCCUUUUUUUCAACUUUUGACCUCGGAUCAGGUAGGGAUACCCCCC
Molecule: ribosomal RNA, 536 nt
Filed under: Alternaria macrospora
Lineage: Eukaryota; Fungi; Ascomycota; Dothideomycetes; Pleosporales; Pleosporaceae
Description: eukaryotic LSU rRNA
Rfam family: 5.8S ribosomal RNA (bases 182-337)
Source: RNAcentral